AGUGUUGUUGGGUAGGGGAGCGUUCUGUAAGCCUGCGAAGGUGUACUGUGAGGUAUGCUGGAGGUAUCAGAAGUGCGAAUGCUGACAUAAGUAACGAUAAUGCGGGUGAAAAACCCGCACGCCGGAAGACCAAGGGUUCCUGUCCAACGUUAAUCGGGGCAGGGUGAGUCGACCCCUAAGGCGAGGCUGAAAAGCGUAGUCGAUGGGAAACGGGUUAAUAUUCCCGUACUGGUGGUAACUGCGAUGGGGGAACGGAGAAGGCUAGGUUGUCCGGGCGACGGUCGUCCCGGUUCAAGCAGGUAGGCAGAGUGAUUAGGCAAAUCCGGUCACUUAAUGCUGAGAUGUGAUGACGAACCACCAAGGUGGUGAAGCAAUUGAUGCCCCGCUUCCAGGAAAAGCCUCUAAGCUUCAGGUUACCAACAAUCGUACCCCAAACCGACACAGGUGGUCAGGUAGAGAAUACUCAGGCGCUUGAGAGAACUCGGGUGAAGGAACUAGGCAAAAUGGUGCCGUAACUUCGGGAGAAGGCACGCUGGCGGUAGGUAAAGUCCCUCGCGGACGGAGCUGAAGCCAGUCGAAGAUACCAGCUGGCUGCAACUGUUUAUUAAAAACACAGCACUGUGCAAACACGAAAGUGGACGUAUACGGUGUGACGCCUGCCCGGUGCUGGAAGGUUAAUUGAUGGGGU
This 688-nucleotide ribosomal RNA is filed under the name Proteus mirabilis. RNAcentral's name for it is "partial 23S ribosomal RNA". It matches the Rfam family "Bacterial large subunit ribosomal RNA", at positions 1217 to 1890 of the family's 2925-position model. Lineage: Bacteria; Pseudomonadati; Pseudomonadota; Gammaproteobacteria; Enterobacterales; Morganellaceae. The record is from RNAcentral.